GGCUAGAAAAUUUAUUUUUGCCGACGUGAUAAUGAUUGUGGGCAAAAGUACCUUUCAAACAAUGUUUUUUUGUGGCCAGAAAUGUUUUUUCUGCCCACGAUUUUAAUUGGCGUGAGUAGUUUUGCCGACGCAACGUCAAAAACAUGGACAAAGGAAAAGACGACGGGGUUUCAGCCAUGAAGCGUGCCCACACAAAAAAUAAUGUCGUCAAAAGCUCUACCCACAUUUUACUGCGUCGGUGAAGAUGAAAAUUCUUGUAGUGAUCUUCUAGCAAAUCACCACGCAUUAUUGAAUUGUUGUUAGAACGCCUCACAAUGUGGAUCGUCAACCAGCUUCUUGUCGCUAGGAAUUCAUCAACUUCUCCACUACGUUGCUUUCUUCUUCAGGCUCAAUACAUUUCACAUAAAGUUUGCAUGCGAUUGAAAAUGGAAGAGAGAAGGAUAAACACAGUAUUAUAGUGGUUUGGCUUAUAGUCAACAUCUAAACAGUUCAAUUUAGUUCGUGUUUUGUAUAGAUCAACUGAAAUUAUGUUUCUCUU
This is a long non-coding RNA of Cucumis melo (muskmelon), 538 nucleotides long. RefSeq lists it as uncharacterized. The transcript has 2 exons. NCBI's taxonomy places the organism in Eukaryota, Viridiplantae, Streptophyta, Magnoliopsida, Cucurbitales, Cucurbitaceae. The record is from RefSeq and is a predicted model, not a curated record.